Molecule: ribosomal RNA, 446 nt
Filed under: uncultured eukaryote
Lineage: Eukaryota
Description: partial 18S ribosomal RNA
Rfam family: Eukaryotic small subunit ribosomal RNA
Source: RNAcentral
AUCGUUCAAGUUUCUGACCUAUCAAUUCAAGAAGGUAGUGUAUUGGACCACCUUGAUUGUAACGGGUACGGAGAAUUAGGGUUCGAUUCCGGAGAGGGAGCCUGAGAAACGGCUACCACUUCCAAGGAAGGCAGCAGGCGCGCAAAUUACCCAAUCUCAAUACGAGGAGGUAGUGAAUAAAAAUAACAAUCCAGAGCUUUGUAAAAAAAGUUUUGGAAUUGGAAUGAGAACAAUGUAAAUACCUUAACGAGGAACAAUUGGAGGGCAAGUCUGGUGCCAGCAGCCGCGGUAAUUCCAGCUCCAAUAGCGUAUGCUAAAAGUUGUUGCAGUUAAAAAGCUCGUAGUCGAAUUUUUAAUUAUUUAUUUUUGUUUAAUUUGGAAUUUCUUUUCUAAAAAGAAAUUUUCUUAUUAUGAUAAAUAAUAACAUUUUUGAUAAAUUCUGAUAA